AUAUAAAACAUGUAAAAAGGUGCCCGAAAGGGAGAAUAGGGAAUGAGGUAUAAGCCUCAGCGGUCCCACCACUGUAAACGGUAGAACUUUUAUAAUCCACUGGAUUACACCGGGAAGGAAAAAGUAUCGUUAGUCCGUAAGCCAGGAGACCUGCCUUUUUCAUUAUUGCAUC
RNAcentral lists this non-coding RNA (172 nucleotides) under Clostridium sp. The record is from RNAcentral. Lineage: Bacteria; Bacillati; Bacillota; Clostridia; Eubacteriales; Clostridiaceae. RNAcentral also lists the same sequence under 1 other name.